UCGAGAAUCUUUCGCAAUGGGCGAAAGCCUGACGAAGCGACGCCGUGUGAGCGAAGAAGGCCUUCGGGUUGUAAAGCUCUUUCGCUAGGGAACAAGAAAGAUGGGAUAAUACCCCGUCGAUUUGAUGGUACUUGGUAAAGAAGCACCGGCUAACUCCGUGCCAGCAGCUGCGGUAAUACGGAGGGUGCAAGCAUUGAUCGGAAUUACUGGGCGUAAAGGGCGCGUAGGCGGCCUAGAAAGUCAGAUGUGAAAUUCCGGGGCUCAACCCCGGAGCGGCAUUUGAAACUCCUAGGCUAGAGUACAGUUAGGGAAAACGGAAUUCCACGUGUAGCGGUGAAAUGCGUAGAUAUGUGGAAGAACACCGGUGGUGAAGACGGUUUUCUGGGCUGAAACUGACGCUGAGGCGCGAAAGCUAGGGGAGCAAACAGGAUUAGAUACCCCCGUAGUCC
RNAcentral lists this ribosomal RNA (449 nucleotides) under uncultured bacterium. Its description in RNAcentral is "bacterial SSU rRNA". It matches the Rfam family "Bacterial small subunit ribosomal RNA", at positions 355 to 796 of the family's 1533-position model. The record is from RNAcentral.